Malaya genurostris is the source of this 5680-nucleotide RNA transcript. It is a transcript of the gene named cullin-2, with no coding region annotated. The record is from RefSeq and is a predicted model, not a curated record. Lineage: Eukaryota; Metazoa; Arthropoda; Insecta; Diptera; Culicidae. The transcript has 4 exons.
UGCAUUGAAAGUGAAAGUCAUUUAGGAGAGAAAAGAAAUAUUUUUUUCAAUGCCAGACAAAAGUUGUUUUAAGAAUCAUUUUUUGUUAUUGUCCUGUACAGUUCAAUUUUGAAAUCAGUAGAAUAUAUUUGUAAAUGGCAGACAAAAACAUGUAGAAUAAAUUAAGAUCUUGUUGUUUAUCACACAGGUAUAAGUUACACACAAUAACGUCCCCCAACUACAAAGCAAGACUACAAAAAAUCUGCUACAAGAACUCAAAUAUGAAGACUAUUACAAAAAACAAGAUAUUGCUUUUAUCACAUGCAUUGGCAACAGAAAAGAAACGUACUGUUUCAUUGGCAAAGAAAUUGAAGAAAAUACAAACCAAUAAACACCAAUUACAUCAGCCAGCAGAUCCAGUGAACCGUGACGAUAAUAUCGAUCAACACCAAAUUCUACGCAAAGAUCAGAACUCAAUGGCCGAUAACUCCCUAUUCCUAAAUUCAAUUAACAAUCUAUCAUUCGCUUCACUGCAUGUUCCGGAGUGUAAAGCAAUUGACAAUGAGGAAGAAAUUGAUAGAAAAUCUUUUGAGCAGUGGAAGGAACUACUUGACGCUUCUAUGAUACUCGCCGGUGUAGCUGAUGAACAAAUAAAGUUUAGUAUAUUUAAAAUAAAAGCAGGACCCAAGUUGCUUGACAUAUUUGAAGGAACGAAGAACUCUAUAAAUUUCCCACCCGAAGAUGAAAAACCAUAUUCGAAUGCGAUUUCUCGACUAAAAUAGUUUUUUGGAUCUCGUGAUUAUUGUCUAAUGCAGCGACAAAAGCUUCGAUCAAUGGCACAAGGCUCCGUCGAAUCUGACUUGAAAUACGUAAAAAGAAUAGUUAACGUUGCUAAGCUUUGUGAUUACAGCGAAGAUGUCAUGAUAGAGAACGUAUUAGACGUUAUCCAGUCUCAUGCUAUAAACCCUGUCGUUAGGGAAAUCGGUCGAAAAAUAAUGAGGAAAUGUGGUUCUUUGGCUGAUCUAUUAGGAAAAGUUCGUGCUUGUGAGAUAAGUAGAAUAAAUGAAGAUUUGUUUGCAAAAAACCAUCAACAAACAAAUCAUGCAGAAUUAGCUGCAGUGUCGACCCAUACAGAGAAUGGAUUUAAGUCUCGUUCCCAGAAUCGUUUUCAUCGUAAAGAUGGUUUCCCAAAAAACGUAUUUGUAAAACAGCAGAAUGGAACUCAUAAUCCAUGUUGGAGAUGCACAAGCACAUAUCAUCUACCCGCAGCUUGUCACGCAGUUGAUAAAUUCUGCAGGAACUGCCAAAAGAAAGGACAUAUUGCAAGAGCUUGUCGUGAAACAGUUCCAGCUCCAUCAAAACGAUAUAAUAAUAACAACGAUAAUCCAGUACCAAAAGUCCGUAAACUUUUGGCAAUUACUAAGGAUAGUGAUAAUGAUGAUAGUGAAUCAAAUCCUCAAAAGUAUAAUGAAGUGUAUCGUGUAAAUGAUCUUUACAAACAUAAUGAUAAUGAGGGUAUUAUUAUCGGUUUUAUAACCGGAGUCCCAAUAUCGUUUUUAAUUGAUUCGGGAGCUGAAGUUAACACUAUCAGUACAGAAGAUUUUAAUCGGUUAUUAACAAGUGAAUCCGCAAAAAAAACCUUGCUUAUCAUGAAAAAGGGAUCCGACAUACCAUUAAAGGCUUACGCGUCUGAAAAUGCAAUUCCUGUAAUUGUAACAUUCGUAGCUGAACUAUUUGUUUCGGAAGAUCGCCCGCGUUUUUAUGAAAAAUUUUAUGCUGUCGCUAACGGAAGAGCAUUGAUGAGUCGAAGUACAGCAAUCCGUUACAGUGUUCUACAAAUUGGAUUGAAUGUUCCUGUAUUUCAAUCUUCCAGUAUGCUUCUUCAAGGAGAAAUUCGAGUGAUAAAUACAUCACAAGAGUUUCCAGUAUUCAAUGUACCACCUGUUAAACUAUCAUACGAUUCAACGAAACCACCAUCUAGAAACAUUUACACAAACAUUCCACCAGCUUUCAAAGAAGAAACAAAAAAAAGACUUUUUGAUCUUUUGGCAUCUGGAAUCAUUGAAUUUGUCACUGAAGACAUGGACAGGUCCUUCUGUUCUUCUUUAUUAGUUGUGCCUAAAGGUAAAAACGAUAUCAGACUAGUGGUGGAUUUAAGAGGACCGAAUAAAUGUAUUAUAAGAACUCCAUUUCGUAUGCCAACUUUAGAAUGUAUACUGGCAGAUCUGUCGGAGGCUAAUUGGUUUUCUACAAUAGAUUUAACGAGUGCUUUUUUCCACGUGGUUCUUCACGAAGAUUCAAGACAUUUAACCAAUUUUUUUGCCGGACAAGCAACAUACAGAUUUAAAAGACUUCCUUUCGGACUUUGUAAUGCUCCUGACAUAUUCCAAGAAAUUCUCCAGACUAUAGUUUUGGCAAACUGUCCAGGAACUCGCAACUAUUUAGACGACAUCAUUGUUUUUGGAAAGAAUAAAGCAGAGCACGACCAAAAUCUUAAUAACGUUUUAAGCCGAUUACAGGAGCAUAACGUGAAUAUAAAUAUUAAAAAAUGUUCAAUUGGUAAACAAUCGGUUAAAUUUUUGGGAUUUACUAUGUCACACGAUGGAAUGAAAAUAGAAGAUAGUAAAUUGUCCGCAAUUAAGCAAUUCCGUAGACCAGAAACUACAUCGGAGGUUAAGAGCUUCCUUGGACUCAUGAAUUUUACAGAAAGAUUCAUCCAGAACAGGGCGGACAAAACAGAAAAACUUAGAAAUCUUGCAAAAGCUGUUGAAUUUUAUUGGAGUCAAGAUGAAGAAGAUGAAUUCCAUUUUCUUAAGAACGAAGCAUUGAAGUCCAUUACAAAGUUAGGAUAUUUCAACUACAAAGAUAAUACGGAGUUGUAUGUUGAUGCUUCUCCCGUCGGCUUGGGUGCAGUUUUAGUACAAUUUAAUUAGAAGGGCACCCCUAGAGUUAUUGCUUGUGCAUCAAAAGCUCUAACUAACUCUGAACAAAAAUAUCCACACACACAAAAAGAGGCUUUGGCUAUAGUAUGGGGCAUAGAGAGAUUCUCAUUUUAUCUCAUGAACAAGACAUUUUCUGUGCGUACAGAUUCCGAGGCAAAUGAAUUCAUUUUCGGAGACGGUCAUAAAAUAAGCAAAAGAGCUGUUUCUCGCGCCGAAGCAUGGGCCUUAAGAGUUCAAGCAUAUGAUUUCACUAUUAAACGUAUCCCAGGACAUUUGAAUGUGGCAGACGCAUUAUCUCGAUUAAUAAAAAGGACUCAGAUUGAUGAGCCUUUCGACGAAGAAAAUAAUAAACAUCUUUUAUAUGCCUUAGACGCAGGAUCAAUGGAUAUAACAUGGCAAGAAAUGGAAUCAACAUCAGAACUAGACGAUGAACUUCGGUCAAUUAGAAUGGCUAUACAGACGAAAAGAUGGCCGGAAAAUCUACGCCGCUUUGAAGCACAAAAAAUGAAUUACGAACUUAUGGGUCAAUGAUUUUUAAAGCCGAUUUAAUUAUUUUACCUAACGUUCUUCGAUCAAAAGCCGUUAAAUCAGCUCAUCAAGGACACAUAGGAUGUGCUGCGAUGAAAAAGAUAAUGAGAGAGUUUUUCUGGUGGCCCGGAAUGAGUAAGGAUGUAGAAACAUUUGUAAAGAAAUGUGAAACAUGCCUGGCAAUGUCAAGAAAAAAUCCUCCUAUUCCUCUAUCAAGUCGUGAGCUGCCAGAUGGUCCAUGGGAGAUAUUACAAAUAGAUUUUUUGGCCGUCCCUAAUUGUGGUUCUGGCGAUUUUCUUAUAGUAGUUGAUACUUACUCCAGAUACCUCGCAGUAGUAGAGAUGAGAAGCACAGAUGCUCGAUGCACUAAUUCAGCUCUUUGUAGAAUAUUUUACACAUGGGGUUUGCCACUUAUUUUGCAAAGUGAUAACGGACCCCCCUUUCAAGGAAAUGAAUUCAUCAAUUAUUGGGAAGAAAAAGGUGUAAAAGUUAGAAAAUCUAUACCUCUAAGUGCUCAGUCUAAUGGUGCUGUUGAGCGCCAAAACCAAGGGAUAAUAAAAGCCUUAGCCGCAGCUAAAGAAGACAGAAUAAAUUGGAAGCAUGCUCUUGAAAAAUACGUACAUGUACAUAAUAAUGUUAAACCACAUUCUAGACUCAAUAUAACGCCAUUCGAAUUAUUAGUUGGCUGGAAAUACAGAGGUAUAUUUCCUUGCCUUUGGGAAAACAAAUCUUCAGAUAAAAUAGAUCGUUGCGAUAUUCGUGAUAAAGAUGCAGUUUCAAAACUCGUUAGUAAAAAAUAUGCCGAUGAUUACAGAGGAGCAAAAGAAUCAGAAAUAUCAACGGGAGACAUAGUUGUGAUGGCUAUUCCAAAGAACUCGAAAACCGAUCGAUCAUUCUCAAAGGAAAGAUACAAAGUUCUUACAAGACAUGGGGCCAAGUUGGUCAUUAGAAGCGAUCGAGGAGUUCAGUACACUCGCAACAUUCAGGAUUUAAAAUUGGCUCCAGAGAACAUAGAUCUUGAUACUCCGUCCUUAAGCCAAGAGGAUAAAUCGGGUAACAGUGUUACUUCAACUGAUGAUAUAGAAGAUUUGAAUAUUAAUUCACAUUUUACACAAGAAACUGAAGGCAUCUUCAAUGAUUCUUUGUGGGAUGACCAAAACCAGUAUCCAGAAAGAAAAAGAAGAAUUAUCAGAAAACCCGCUAAGUUUAAUGAUAUGUUUUUAUACCAUGUGUUCCAAUGAUGUAUUAUUGUUUUAAUUUAAUAGAUUAAGAGUAGGAGUGAAGGUGAAUGUAGAGAAUAGAUGAAUGAAUGUAAAUAUAUAUUAGGUCAAAGCUAGUAGUCUGUUAAAAAAAUUACAUAUGAACAUAACAACGAUAACGAUAACAACGAGACAAGAUCGAGGCGCUGCAUAGCAGCAGUUUCUAUGGUUUUAUUAGUUACUAUUGCUAAAUGAAAAAUAUCAGUCAGUUUAGAAGCAGACCUUGAAGAGAGCGGUCCUAAAAAUAUACCAAGUUUUCGCUUAGAAUAAAUUAUUUAAAUUUUGUUAAAGAAAAGUAAAAUAGAAGUGUAUUCGGAACAAUGGGAGGACAAAAUAAACCAUCAAGUCACGACAAUAACCAUUCAGGUAAUCGAAAAUGUUGUAUUCAAUUGCUGUCACUUGGCGGAGAACGAAGACAGCAAAAGGCAGAACAAAAAACCUCUUCAUUUCACCAGAAGCGUUUCAUAUUGAAAAUUUUCAAUGGUAAAUGAACGUCAUUUAUGUUAGUUACGUAGUGGUCGUUUUAUGUAAGUGAAGGUAUGCAGAAUAAUAUAACAGUUAAUUGUAAAACAAGUUUUUCAUGUGUUAAAUAGAUAUUCCUACAAAAUACAUGUUUUAAUUUCAUCUGAGAGUAAUGUAUUCUAGGAAAGUUCAUGUCAAUGUUAUUAAAACCGCUUAACGCUUGAAAAUUUGUUGCUAAAGUGAAGUGGUACUAUUUGUAUUUUCUUGAAAGUGUAUCUGUAGCAUUAGAUUUACCAGCGAGCCAUUCUACAAGUGAAGGAAAAAUUUCCUAAUUCCCUGUGACCAUUUUUCUGGUGAGUUCCCUUUUGAGAGUUGUAAUCUUUUGGUUCAUUUCCAUAUCCUUUGUGAGUUUAGUGAUAAAGAUAUAAGCAGUUAAUUAGGUAAAAUUUCGUUGUUCAAGCAGUGAACGAUUAGCUGCCCCCCGAAGAGGGUAACAGUAAGAAAUAUUUA